GAUGAAUGCUGGUGGCGUGCCUAACACAUGCAAGUCGAGCGGCAGCGAGGGGUGCUUGCACCCUGUCGGCGAGCGGCGAACGGCUGAGUAACGCGUAGGAAUUUGCCCCAAAGUGAGGAAUAACUGCCCGAAAGGGUAGCUAAUGCCGCAUAUGGUCUUCGGAUUAAAGGAUUUAUCCGCUUUGGGAGAAGCCUGCGUUGGAUUAGGUUGUUGGUAGGGUAAUGGCCUACCAAGCCGACGAUCCAUAGCUGGUCUGAGAGGAUGAUCAGCCAGACUGGAACUGAGACACGGUCCAGACUCCUACGGGAGGCAGCAGUGAGGAAUCUUCCACAAUGGGCGAAAGCCUGAUGGAGCAACGCCGCGUGAAGGAUGAAGGCCUUCGGGUUGUAAACUUCUUUUAUGAGUGAAGAAUAUGACGGUAACUCAUGAAUAAGCACCGGCUAACUACGUG
This 451-nucleotide ribosomal RNA is filed under the name uncultured bacterium. RNAcentral's name for it is "partial 16S ribosomal RNA". It matches the Rfam family "Bacterial small subunit ribosomal RNA", at positions 28 to 507 of the family's 1533-position model. The record is from RNAcentral.